UACGGAGGGUGCAAGCAUUAAUCGGAAUUACUGGGCGUAAAGGGCGCGUAGGCGGAUGAAUAAGUCAGAUGUGAAAUUCUGGGGCUCAACCUCAGAGCUGCAUUUGAAACUGUUUGUCUAGAGGGUAGAAGGGGAGAACGGAAUUCCACGUGUAGCGGUGAAAUGCGUAGAUAUGUGGAAGAACACCGGUGGCGAAGGCGGUUCUCUAUUUUAUACCUGACGCUGAGGCGCGAAAGCAAGGGGAUCAAACAGG
This 253-nucleotide ribosomal RNA is filed under the name uncultured Neochlamydia sp. RNAcentral describes it as "partial 16S ribosomal RNA". It matches the Rfam family "Bacterial small subunit ribosomal RNA", at positions 524 to 776 of the family's 1533-position model. Lineage: Bacteria; Pseudomonadati; Chlamydiota; Chlamydiia; Parachlamydiales; Parachlamydiaceae. The record is from RNAcentral.